Molecule: ribosomal RNA, 493 nt
Filed under: uncultured bacterium
Lineage: Bacteria
Description: partial 16S ribosomal RNA
Rfam family: Bacterial small subunit ribosomal RNA
Source: RNAcentral
AUUGAACGCUGGCGGCAUGCUUUACACAUGCAAGUCGAAUGGUAACAGGUUAAGCUGACGAGUGGCGAACGGGUGAGUAAUGCAUCGGAACGUGCCCGGUCGUGGGGGAUAACGCAGCGAAAGCUGCGCUAAUACGGCAUACGAUCUAAGGAUGAAAGCGGGGGACCGUAAGGCCUCGCGCGAUCGGAGCGGCCGAUGUCAGAUUAGGUAGUUGGUGGGGUAAAGGCUCACCAAGCCAACGAUCUGUAGCUGGUCUGAGAGGACGACCAGCCACACUGGGACUGAGACACGGCCCAGACUCCUACGGGAGGCAGCAGUGGGGAAUUUUGGACAAUGGGCGAAAGCCUGAUCCAGCAAUGCCGCGUGCAGGAAGAAGGCCUUCGGGUUGUAAACUGCUUUUGUACGGAGCGAAAAGGUCUCCUCUAAUACAGGGGGCUCAUGACGGUACCGUAAGAAUAAGCACCGGCUAACUACGUGCCAGCCGCCGCCGUAA